Caenorhabditis elegans is the source of this 21-nucleotide non-coding RNA. Lineage: Eukaryota; Metazoa; Nematoda; Chromadorea; Rhabditida; Rhabditidae. The record is from Ensembl.
UUUCACAUUGUCAGAGAAAAC